This 336-nucleotide unclassified non-coding RNA is filed under the name soil metagenome. RNAcentral describes it as "partial contains 5.8S ribosomal RNA, internal transcribed spacer 2, and large subunit ribosomal RNA". The stretch from base 1 to 120 matches the Rfam family "5.8S ribosomal RNA", at positions 35 to 154 of the family's 154-position model. The record is from RNAcentral.
GAUGAAGAACGUAGCGAAAUGCGAUAAGUAAUGUGAAUUGCAGAAUUCAGUGAAUCAUCGAAUCUUUGAACGCACAUUGCGCCCGCCAGUAUUCUGGCGGGCAUGCCUGUUCGAGCGUCAUCUCAACCAUCAAGCCCCCGGCUUGUGUUGGGGACCUGCGGCUGCCGCAGGCCCUGAAAAGCAGUGGCGGGCUCGCUGUCACACCGAGCGUAGUAGCAUACAUCUCGCUCUGGGCGUGCUGCGGGUUCCGGCCGUUAAACCACCUUCAUAACCCAAGGUUGACCUCGGAUCAGGUAGGAAGACCCGCUGAACUUAAGCAUAUCAAUAAGCGGAGGA